AGAGUUUGAUCCUGGCUCAGAACGAACGCUGGCGGCGUGCUUAACACAUGCAAGUCGAACGAGAAAGUACCUUCGGGUACGAGUAAAGUGGCGCACGGGUGAGUAACGCGUAGAUAACCUGUCCAGGUGUUCGGGAUAGCCCUUCGAAAGGGGGAUUAAUACCGGAUACGUUGGUCUGUCUUAAGGCAGAUCAAGAAAGGUGGCCUCUAUUUAUAAGCUAUCGCAUUUGGAGGGGUCUGCGUACCAUUAGUUUGUUGGUGGGGUAAUGGCCUACCAAGACUUCGAUGGUUAGCGGGUCUGAGAGGAUGAUCCGUCACACUGGCACUGAAACACGGGCCAGACUCCUACGGGAGGCAGCAGUGAGGAAUAUUGCGCAAUGGGGGAAACCCUGACGCAGCGACGCCGCGUGGGUGAGGAAGGCUUUCGGGUCGUAAAGCCCUGUCAGAAGGGAAGAAAUGUGUGAUGGUUAAUACCCGUUGCAUUUGACGGUACCUUCAAAGGAAGCACCGGCUAACUCCGUGCCAGCAGCCGCGGUAAUACGGAGGGUGCAAGCGUUGUUCGGAAUCACUGGGCGUAAAGGGCGCGCAGGCGGUUUGAUUAGUCAGAUGUGAAAGCCCACGGCUUAACCGUGGAAGUGCAUUUGAAACUGUCAAACUUGAGUACCAGAGGGGGUAGUGGAAUUCCCGGUGUAGAGGUGAAAUUCGUAGAUAUCGGGAGGAAUACCGGUGGCGAAGGCGACUACCUGGCUGGAUACUGACGCUGAGGCGCGAAAGCGUGGGGAGCAAACAGGAUUAGAUACCCUGGUAGUCCACGCCGUAAACGAUGUGAACUAGGUGUAGGGGGUGUUGAUCCCCUCUGUGCCGCAGCUAACGCAUUAAGUUCACCGCCUGGGGAGUACGGUCGCAAGAUUAAAACUCAAAGGAAUUGACGGGGGCCCGC
RNAcentral lists this ribosomal RNA (939 nucleotides) under uncultured delta proteobacterium. Its description in RNAcentral is "bacterial SSU rRNA". It matches the Rfam family "Bacterial small subunit ribosomal RNA", at positions 8 to 924 of the family's 1533-position model. Lineage: Bacteria; Deltaproteobacteria. The record is from RNAcentral.